CCACCAACGAGGCGCCCACCUCCGGCCUGGGCUUCGCCACCGGCCUGGGUGUGAGCGUGUGGGCCACCGCCACCACCCUGGGUCUGUACAAGCUGGGCUUCUCCUUCCCCGGGCACUUCAUCCCUGGUAGGAACGGGCGGGUGCGGGAGCCAACGCAUUGAAGGUUGUGGAGCAGCGGGUUUGUGUUUGCACAGGUCAGCACCGCGUGCGGGGUGUGCCGGGUAUGCACGGCAUGUGCUGGGUGCGUGCACGCCAACACCGAAUGGCAAAACUUGUGCCUGACUAGUUGGUUGUUGUCCUUGCCGACCGCAGGCGGCACCCCCUGGCCCAUGGCCUUCAUCUUCGUGCCCCUGGAGACCAUUUCGUACACCUUCCGUGCUGUUUCCCUGGGUGUCCGUCUGUGGGUCAACAUGCUUGCCGGACACACGCUGCUGCACAUCCUGACGGGUGAGUCGCUGCCGUUCGCACAGCUGCACUGUAAACUACAGAUUAGGUGCGCUCUCUGGGACCCUGCGACGCCACACCUACACCGCCUGCUUUCCAGAACCCACCUGGCUGCCACCCCGCCUCCCCACGCCGUCUCUCUCAACCGGUACUCUUCCUUGCAGGCAUGGCGCUGGCGCUGCCCUUCUCGCUGUCGUUCU
This 644-nucleotide long non-coding RNA is filed under the name Chlamydomonas reinhardtii. RNAcentral's name for it is "long non-coding RNA (CREI_LNC000030)". The record is from RNAcentral. Lineage: Eukaryota; Viridiplantae; Chlorophyta; Chlorophyceae; Chlamydomonadales; Chlamydomonadaceae.